CCUACGGGAGGCAGCAGUGAGGAAUAUUGGUCAAUGGGCGCGAGCCUGAUCCAGCCAAGUAGCGUGAAGGAUGACUGCCCUACGGGUUGUAAACUUCUUUUAUAAAGGAAUAAAGUGAGGCACGUGUGCCUUUUUGUAUGUACUUUAUGAAUAAGGAUCGGCUAACUCCGUGCCAGCAGCCGCGGUAAUACGGAGGAUCCGAGCGUUAUCCGGAUUUAUUGGGUUUAAAGGGAGCGUAGAUGGGUUGUUAAGUCAGUUGUGAAAGUUUGCGGCUCAACCGUAAAAUUGCAAUUGAUACUGGCAGUCUUGAGUACAGUUGAGGUAGGCGGAAUUCGUGGUGUAGCGGUGAAAUGCUUAGAUAUCACGAAGAACUCCGAUUGCGAAGGCAGCUUACUAAACUGCCACUGACAUUGAUGCUCGAAAGUGUGGGUAUCAAACAGGAUUAGAUACCCUAGUAGUC
This 460-nucleotide ribosomal RNA is filed under the name uncultured bacterium. Its description in RNAcentral is "partial 16S ribosomal RNA". It matches the Rfam family "Bacterial small subunit ribosomal RNA", at positions 338 to 795 of the family's 1533-position model. The record is from RNAcentral.